Molecule: transfer RNA, 70 nt
Filed under: Grundulus bogotensis
Lineage: Eukaryota; Metazoa; Chordata; Actinopteri; Characiformes; Acestrorhamphidae
Description: tRNA-Tyr
Rfam family: tRNA
About the family: Transfer RNA (tRNA) molecules are approximately 80 nucleotides in length. Their secondary structure includes four short double-helical elements and three loops (D, anti-codon, and T loops).
Source: RNAcentral
GGUAGGAUGGCCGAGGGUCUAGGCAGUGGGUUGUAGCUCCAUACACAAAGGUUUAAGUCCUUUUCUUAUC